Molecule: non-coding RNA, 113 nt
Organism: Acanthosepion pharaonis
Lineage: Eukaryota; Metazoa; Mollusca; Cephalopoda; Sepiida; Sepiidae
Source: the annotation of a GenBank genome assembly
UUACGGUCACAUCACCUUGAAAUAGCUGUUCCCGUACGAUCACCGAAGUUAAGCAACAUCGAGCCUGGUCAGUACCUCGAUCGGUGACCUUUUGGGAAUACCAGGUGCUGUAA